Molecule: ribosomal RNA, 740 nt
Filed under: Caenorhabditis brenneri
Lineage: Eukaryota; Metazoa; Nematoda; Chromadorea; Rhabditida; Rhabditidae
Description: rRNA CBN34404
Source: RNAcentral
AAUAAGUAUGUUUCUUUUUCGCAGAAAUGGUUUUUUAUCUUAUAAAGUUUUCUUUUAGGGAAUUAAAAUUUGAUCAUGGUUUAAGAUGAUUUAAAAUGGUAUUAUCUAAAUUUGAUUUACGGAGUAGGCAAUAAAUAUUUACCUCGGCAAUUUAUCGCUUGUAAAAUACUUGUUCCAGAAUAAUCGGCUAGACUUGUUAAAGCUUGUACUUUAAUUGAUGUUAAUUAUGAAAUAUUUUGCUUAUCUUUUAGAUUUAUGGUAGAAUUUGAAUUAAUAUUGGUGUACUUUCAUAAUUUUAAUAUUUGUUGAACAAAGCAGAUUAGUACCUGGUUAGACAAAAAUUAAAAGAGCAGGAGUAAAGUUGUAUUUAAACUGAAAAGAUAUUGGCAGACAUUCUAAAUUAUCUUUGGAGGCUGAGUAGUAACUGAGAACCCUCAUUAACUACUUAAUUUUUUGACUCGUGUAUGAUCGUUUAUUUUAUUCUUAAGGAUUAUAAUAAAAAAUUUUUAAUUUAUUAAAAUAGAUAUAUACCCGGUUUAUGAUUUAAGAAAUAUUUGGCCUACAAUAUUUUAUAAUGUGGAUUUAGGAUUUAGUAAUCUUAAUGAAAUUGUAAAAGACAGUAAAAAACUCUUUAUGUGUUUUUGAAGAUUAUCUAGAAGUGGUACAAAUCAUCCAUCAAUUGCCCAAAGGGGAGUAAGUUGUAGUAAAGUAGAUUUAGGGGAACCUGAAUCUAGUAAUAG